RNAcentral lists this ribosomal RNA (863 nucleotides) under uncultured organism. RNAcentral describes it as "bacterial SSU rRNA". It matches the Rfam family "Bacterial small subunit ribosomal RNA", at positions 558 to 1435 of the family's 1533-position model. The record is from RNAcentral.
GCAUAAAGAGUUCGUAGGCGUUUUGUUAAGUUGGAUGUUAAAUUUUGGAGCUCAACUUAAAAAAAGUAUCCAAAACUGGCAAACUGGAGACUGGUAGAGGUAAGUGGAAUUCUGCAUGUAGGGGUAAUAUCCGUAGAUAUGCAGAGGAACACCAAAAGCGAAGGCAGCUUACUGGACCAGUUCUGACGCUCAAGAACGAAAGCGUGGGUAGCGAACGGGAUUAGAUACCCCGGUAGUCCACGCCCUAAACGAUGGACACUAGGUAUUGGAGGUCUCGACCCCUUCAGUGCCGACGCAAAUGCAAUAAGUGUUCCGCCUGGGUAGUACGAGCGCAAGCUUAAAACUCAAAGGAAUAGACGGGGACCCACACAAGCGGUGGAGCAUCUGGUUUAAUUCGACAAUAAGCGAGGAACCUUACCAAGGCUUGACAUCCCGAGAAGAUCGCCGAAAGGUGAUUGUGCCGUUAGGAACUCGGUGACAGGUGCUGCAUGGUUGUCGUCAGCUCGUGCCUUGAGGUGUUCGGUUAAGUCCGUGAACGAGCGCAACCCUUGUCUCAAGUUGCAUAUUUCUUGAGAGACUGCCGGUUUCAAAUCGGAGGAAGGUAAGGAUGACGUCAAGUCAGCAUGGCCCUUAUGUCUUGGGCGACACAGGUGCUACAAUGGCCGGUACAAUGGGCAGCGAAGGAGCAAUCUGGAGCAAAUCCUCAAAACCGGUCCAAGUUCGAAUUGAAGGCUGCAACUCGCCUUCAUGAAGUUGGAAUCGCUAGUAACCGCAUAUCAGCCAUGGUGCGGUGAUCCGUUCCUGGGUCUUGUACUCACCGCCCGUCAAGUCAUGAAAGAUGGGGGUGCCCGAAGUACCCUUAG